UGUGACCAGACCAGGUCUUCAAAUCCCAUUAUUUAGGAGGGGAAUCCUAUUUGCAUACUGAUGGCCCUGUGCUGUUCAGGUACAUCUUCCUUAUUGUUCAUAUGAGGAUAAAACUUCUGAAGCUGAUUUCCAAGAGUCUGGCUCCAUCUUUUUUUCAAUCUCCCUUCAGCAAAGUGCAGAGUACAAGGAAGACUAAACUGUCAGAAGAUCUCUUGGUGUUAUUGACUGACUGUCUUAUAGCAGUACUUGAAGAAUUUCCUGCAGAUAUUCCAUAUGGGCUUUUCUCAUAAAAUUGUGUGAGAUGCAGCAAUCUUCACUCAUCUUGAUUUUUGACUGGGGAACUGAGGUAAAAUAAUAAAAAC
This 362-nucleotide long non-coding RNA is filed under the name Anser brachyrhynchus (Pink-footed goose). RNAcentral describes it as "lncRNA (ENSABRG00000018821.1)". Lineage: Eukaryota; Metazoa; Chordata; Aves; Anseriformes; Anatidae. The record is from RNAcentral.